AGGAGAUGAACCUGCAGCUGAUAUGUCCUGAUAAAUAAACACACCUAACAGGUAAAGUACAUAUUUAAUACACACACACACACACACACACACACAUAAACUCACACACAUACACAGACACACACUGUGUUAUUAUCUGGAGUGUGAUGUGGAGUUAUUAAAGCUGAAACCGCUGCUGGAGUUUAUUAUGGUUUCGGAUGACAAGAUUAGCCACAGGUGCUAGCUGUUUUUAGCAUUUAGCAUUUUAGCAAGAUGACUUUCAGUCGACGGAAACGGUAUUUUCUCCCACAUUAGCGUCACACAUUUGAUUAUUUUAGCAAACGCUCGGUUUUCGAGUUGCAGAAGAAAAGCGGAGAAUUUAUCCAGACUCGUUAAAUGCGUAAUUUCGGGAAAUGUAGGUAGCCUUCUCCACCCGUAUUCAGGCAAUCCCUCAAGCCCUGCAGGGAAUGGCUACUCGUUAACCCAAACAAUCCUCUGAUUGGUUAGUUUUACAUCCACGGUUAAAGCAGACGCGAUCCUAUUGGCUAAUCAUCUCUUAGGAGGCGGAGCCUGUCGGAACCGAGUUUAAUGGAAGACUUAAAAAAUACAGAAGAAGAUCAGAGUAAUCCAGUUUCUCACCAGGACACCAAACAGAUACUUAAA
This is a long non-coding RNA of Ictalurus punctatus (channel catfish), 642 nucleotides long. Lineage: Eukaryota; Metazoa; Chordata; Actinopteri; Siluriformes; Ictaluridae. The record is from Ensembl.